UUUUUAAUUUGGUUUUUGUUUUGUGUUAUAUUUUUCCCAACCAGGUGUAUUUUCAUACAACUUGGAAGGCAGAAGUAAAGCAGAAGCAAUUUUUCCUGAAGCUUUGGUUGAUUCUAGAGAUACACAUACUGCUUUUAUUCUGCAGCAGCAUUCCCAUAUCCAGGUGAUAGAGGCAGAAAGUGGAAUAAAAAGAAGAAGAAG
This 201-nucleotide long non-coding RNA is filed under the name Mustela putorius furo (domestic ferret). RNAcentral describes it as "lncRNA (ENSMPUG00000031642.1)". The record is from RNAcentral. Lineage: Eukaryota; Metazoa; Chordata; Mammalia; Carnivora; Mustelidae.